This 251-nucleotide ribosomal RNA is filed under the name uncultured prokaryote. RNAcentral's name for it is "partial 16S ribosomal RNA". It matches the Rfam family "Bacterial small subunit ribosomal RNA", at positions 525 to 775 of the family's 1533-position model. The record is from RNAcentral.
ACGAGGGGCCCGAGCGUUAAUCGGAAUUACUGGGCGUAAAGCGUGCGCAGGCGGUUGUGCAAGACAGAUGUGAAAUCCCCGGGCUCAACCUGGGAACUGCACUUGUGACUGCAAGGCUAGAGUGUGUCAGAGGGAGGUGGAAUUCCGCGUGUAGCAGUGAAAUGCGUAGAGAUGCGGAGGAACACCGAUGGCGAAGGCAGCCUCCUGGGAUAACACUGACGCUCAGGCACGAAAGCGUGGGGAGCAAACAG